UCUUACUAAUAAAAAAUCACUAUACAUGCGUUAUGACAAGGUGAUAGUAAUUCAGUGAAUAGAGCUUGUACAGGGCAUAAACUCCUCUUUGACCAAUAAUCGAUGUGUAUUGGUUGAAUAACAAAACGACCCUUAUUUAUUGUUACCCUGGCAACCCGCCGUGUUUGAUUGACGUUUGAUUUAAUAAUUUUGAUACGACUCAUAAUUCUAAUGUAAGUUGUAUUUAUUUUAUCAACCAAAGCAAUUAUAUACACAUUUACUCAAUAUACUAAUAACAUUUUAUUAUUUGCAGCUAAUAGAAACUCCAAAACCUCAGACAAAGAGGACUAGAAUUUUACAUAAAAAGCCGCGUUCUGCAGUACAAAAGUUAGAAGAGGCAUCUCAAAUAGUGGAAAGUGCCAAACUCCGCAACACGGUAGUGUUCCAGUGUUUCCAGGAAGAGCACGAAACAAAACAAAGGCAGAUGGCUGAAACACAUGAGCUCAAACAGAAGCGACUCGCCGAAGCUCACGAAAGGGCUAGACAGAAGCAUCUUCUAAGGCUCAAAUUGUUACAGCAGCAAUUAAAUAAAUAAUUAUAUACUUAUAAAAAAAAUAAAACCCCCGUUUUAAAUGAAA
This is a long non-coding RNA of Pieris napi, 617 nucleotides long. RefSeq lists it as uncharacterized. NCBI's taxonomy places the organism in Eukaryota, Metazoa, Arthropoda, Insecta, Lepidoptera, Pieridae. The record is from RefSeq and is a predicted model, not a curated record. The transcript is spliced from 2 exons.